AAAAAAAUGCUGAUUAUAGCUAUAUAAUUCACUAAAGAAUAAUAAUCCACAAAAAUAUGCAUCACAAAAAUUUUACCUAGAAAUCAGAAUAAAAAACUGAUCUCCACAUACUGCACAAUUUCUGUAAGCAGUCAUCAAAAUACAACUUUUCACUUGCUGUUUAAGUUCUCAAGUAGAAUUUCCGAGCUAUCAAACAUUCUCUGAGGCAUCUUUUUUUGACUCCUCUGCACUCCUUGCAGCAGCCAACCUCUCAGCCGCCAAUCUUUCUUCCAGUGCUCUAGCUCCACGUUCUCUCCUCCUAGAUGCCUCGAUGGGGUCUGAACCAGGCAAUGGAGCCCCUCCCAGAGUAUAACCAUGUGCUUCAGUAGAAGUGUCGGAUCUUCCACAAAGCAUCCGAUGGAAUAUUGAUGCAAUGGGAUCAAUAACUGGUCUAAGGAAUUCAGGAAAGAAAGUAGAGAAUGCAAAAUCAUCAUUUGGAUCACCCCUUAGUUUUGCUUCUGGUUUCCUCUGUAGGUAUCUUAGGUAAAUCCAACUUGUAUACGUGCCAAAUAUAAUGGUUGGAAGAUAUGCUGUUGAAUCAGGCGUAAAGAAGCUUACAGCAAUAGCUAGCAAGAGUGCAAAGAUGAAAGCCACUUUGCCUUUAUUGUGAAUAAGGGCAGUUCUUGGUCAGGUAUAAUUUGCUUCAUACCAACCAAGAAACCUGACAAGAUCCCUUGGAAGCCAGAAAUGGGCAUAUAGAGGUAAUUUUCCUGCCUCAUUAUGUAGUACAAGGCAAUAGUUGUAAUGAAAACACACACAUAAGUAAGACAGUUGACUAUGAAAAUGAACUUCAAGAACUCCUUAGAACCCCACACAGGUUCAAGUAGCUUCCCCAUAAUAAGGAGGAAUAAAGUGCUGACAACCACCCCAUAUAUUGAUUGUUCAAUGUAACCAGCUGUAAUGAGGUUCCACGCAAAAGGAAUUGUCUUGGCAGGAAUAAGAGCGAGAUAUGAAACAGCAGGAGGCAAAAUCUGAACUACAAUGUGACCGGCAACAAGAACCACAGCCAGACCCUUGCAUAGCCUCGUGAAUCCAGUAAAGAAACCGGUGCCUGCAGAUAUCGCCGGCGAGCUCAUAAUGAAGAAACGAGAGUUUAGCAAGAGAAGAUGGAAGGUUGGAGAAGGUGGAAAAUGUAUAGGUGAUUUGGUGUUAUUGGGUUGGAGAGAGUAGAUACGACUUUCUUCGUCUUUGCUGUUUAGG
This 1239-nucleotide unclassified non-coding RNA is filed under the name Hevea brasiliensis (rubber tree). Lineage: Eukaryota; Viridiplantae; Streptophyta; Magnoliopsida; Malpighiales; Euphorbiaceae. The record is from RNAcentral.